GCUCAAGUGGUGGAAUUGGUAGACACGUUGGAUUCAAAAUCCAAUGUCGCAAGACGUGUGGGUUCGAUUCCCACCUUGAGUA
This 82-nucleotide transfer RNA is filed under the name Winogradskyella eximia. Its description in RNAcentral is "tRNA-Leu". It matches the Rfam family "tRNA". Rfam says of the family: Transfer RNA (tRNA) molecules are approximately 80 nucleotides in length. Their secondary structure includes four short double-helical elements and three loops (D, anti-codon, and T loops). Further hydrogen bonds mediate the characteristic L-shaped molecular structure. tRNAs have two regions of fundamental functional importance: the anti-codon, which is responsible for specific mRNA codon recognition, and the 3' end, to which the tRNAs corresponding amino acid is attached (by aminoacyl-tRNA synthetases). tRNAs cope with the degeneracy of the genetic code in two manners: having more than one tRNA (with a specific anti-codon) for a particular amino acid; and 'wobble' base-pairing, i.e. permitting non-standard base-pairing at the 3rd anti-codon position. RNAcentral also lists the same sequence under 6 other names. The record is from RNAcentral. Lineage: Bacteria; Pseudomonadati; Bacteroidota; Flavobacteriia; Flavobacteriales; Flavobacteriaceae.